AUGGAUACUCCCGGGUUGCACCCCAAUCACUGACAAAGACUAUUCCAUCAUGUGUCAACUCUCACGAGGAUGCAAUAAGAGAAAAAGAACUUAUUCUGCAUAUGCAUAUUACACCUUUUCUCUGUGAAGUUCCUGACAAUUGAAGCCAUUGCUAGCUUCCUUGAAGAAGGAUUGUGCCAAAACACUCGUGUUUCUUCAUAGGUCCCGAGAUGUAUCCUGUGUUUUCUGGAGCUCUAAUAGAAAAAGAAAUAUGUAAAUAGCAUAGAAGUUUGACAACGGAAGCAGGUUCAGGUAUGUGAACAGUUUUUUUGUUUAAUUUCACCUGAGUAGUGGUUGAGUUUAGGAAGUAAAUUCUG
Molecule: unclassified non-coding RNA, 356 nt
Filed under: Hevea brasiliensis (rubber tree)
Lineage: Eukaryota; Viridiplantae; Streptophyta; Magnoliopsida; Malpighiales; Euphorbiaceae
Source: RNAcentral